Molecule: ribosomal RNA, 1191 nt
Filed under: Triticum aestivum (bread wheat)
Lineage: Eukaryota; Viridiplantae; Streptophyta; Magnoliopsida; Poales; Poaceae
Description: partial small subunit ribosomal RNA
Source: RNAcentral
AUGGCGGCGGUGUUAGCGGCGCAUGGCUCCCACGUUUCGGCUUCGAUCAUUGCAGGUUUUGGAAGUGCUCUGAGAGGAAUACCAAAAGGAUUUUGUCCUUGUUUUUACAAUAUCCAAGCAUCAAUAUAUAAUGGACUUGUUCAUAGGAGGAAAAUUCCUCUUCCGUUGAGAUGCUCUUUUCGCUCUAUUCAAGCAAGAAAUAAUCACUCAUCAUCAGCUGUUGUACCUAAAGAUUAUUGUGAAACUUACAUCCAAUUUUUGAGAGACAAACGGAUAGUUCCUGAUUCAGAUCCUCCAAGCUCUAAGGAUGUGGACCUACUGUACCGGUUUAUAGAUAAGAGUAACAAGCUCAUGGUAUUAACUGGAGCUGGAAUGAGCACCGAGUCAGGAAUUCCCGAUUAUCGGAGUCCUAAUGGAGCAUACAGUUCUGGUUUCAAACCACUUACUCAUCAGGAGUUUGUUCGCUCUAUUCGAGCCCGGCGGCGCUACUGGGCCAGGAGUUAUGCUGGAUGGAGAAGGUUCAAGCGAGCACAACCAAAUACAGCUCACUAUGCUCUUGCUUCACUAGAAAGAAUCGGCCGUGUUCACACGAUGGUUACCCAGAAUGUGGAUAGAUUACAUCAUCGUGCUGGUAGUAAGCCAAUUGAGUUGCAUGGAAGUGUAUAUGAGGUAAUUUGCUUAGAUUGUGGAACAUCCAUCAGCCGAGAGUCAUUCCAAGAACAAGUGAAGGACCUCAACCCAAAGUGGGCUCUAGCUAUUGACAGUUUGGAAGAGGGACAACCUGGCUCGAGCAGAAGUUUUGGUAUGCAGCAGCGACCUGAUGGUGAUAUUGAGAUUGAUGAGAAGUUCUGGGAGCAAGAUUUUGACAUUCCUAGUUGCAGUCAGUGUGGUGGAGUGCUAAAACCUGAUGUUGUGAUGUUUGGUGAUAAUGUUCCGAGAGAGAGAGCUGAUAGCGCUAAGGAGGCUGCUAGAAACUGUGAUGCUCUUCUGGUGGUUGGUUCAGCGGUAAUGACAAUGUCUGCUUUUAGGCUGGCAAGGCUUGCACAUGAAGCAAAUGCUCCAAUCGUCGCGAUUAACAUUGGGGGCACGAGAGUUGAUAGCAUUAUAUCUUUGAAAAUCAAUGCGAGAUGUGGGGAGAUACUUCCCAGAGUACUUCAGAUGGGAAGUCUAGCUGUACCAAGCAUAAGCUGA